This 458-nucleotide ribosomal RNA is filed under the name uncultured bacterium. Its description in RNAcentral is "partial 16S ribosomal RNA". It matches the Rfam family "Bacterial small subunit ribosomal RNA", at positions 338 to 795 of the family's 1533-position model. The record is from RNAcentral.
CCUACGGGCGGCAGCAGUGAGGAAUAUUGGUCAAUGGGCGAGAGCCUGAACCAGCCAAGUCGCGUGAGGGAGUACUGCCCUACGGGUUGUAAACCUCUUUUGUCGGGGAGCAAAAGCCGGACGUGUCCGGCUGUUAGAGUACCCGAAGAAAAAGCAUCGGCUAACUCUGUGCCAGCAGCCGCGGUAAUACGGAGGAUGCGAGCGUUAUCGGGGUUUAGUGGGUUUAAAGGGGGCGCAGGCGGAUUUUUAAGUCGGCGGUAAAAUCGUGGGGCUUAACCCCAUCCAGCCGUUGAAAAUGGGGAUCUUGAGUGCGCGAGAGGUAUGCGGAAUGCGUGGUGUAGCGGUGAAAUGCAUAGAUAUCACGCAGAACCCCGAUUGCGAAGGCAGCAUACCGGUGCACAACUGACGCUCAGGCACGAAAGCGUGGGUAUCGAACAGGAUUAGAUACCCGGGUAGUC